Molecule: non-coding RNA, 355 nt
Organism: Camelina sativa (false flax)
Lineage: Eukaryota; Viridiplantae; Streptophyta; Magnoliopsida; Brassicales; Brassicaceae
Source: RefSeq, a predicted model, not a curated record
GAGGGCGAGGGGACUUCAAAGUGAAGUAAAUGGGAAGAGACGGAAGACGAAAAGGAGCAGUUUCCGAUUUGAUUAUAAUCAAAUUAGACAGACAUAAUCGGACUAUUGAUGCUAGGCGGAGAUUAGUUAUUAAUCGAGAUGGAGAGGGUGGGCCUAGCGAUUUUGCGGGACGUAAUCGGUGGUUGGCAGAGAUUUUUUAAAACAGGGUAUGUGGCUAUGUGCAUAUAUAAAUCUUCUUAUUUUCCUGAUUUAUUAUCAUAUAGAUUUUUGUUUGACUCAUUCUUACAUUUUGUUGUUGUUCAUGCUCUCUCGAGUGUAUAUGUCGCAAUCACAUCUAAUUGAGAAAAAGUAUAUA